This 286-nucleotide ribosomal RNA is filed under the name uncultured Geobacillus sp. RNAcentral describes it as "partial 16S ribosomal RNA". It matches the Rfam family "Bacterial small subunit ribosomal RNA", at positions 1094 to 1382 of the family's 1533-position model. Lineage: Bacteria; Bacillati; Bacillota; Bacilli; Caryophanales; Anoxybacillaceae. The record is from RNAcentral.
GAGCGCAACCCUCGCCUCUAGUUGCCAGCAUCGGUUGGGCACUCUAGAGGGACUGCCGGCGACAAGUCGGAGGAAGGUGGGGAUGACGUCAAAUCAUCAUGCCCCUUAUGACCUGGGCUACACACGUGCUACAAUGGGCGGUACAAAGGGCUGCGAACCCGCGAGGGGGAGCGAAUCCCAAAAAGCCGCUCUCAGUUCGGAUUGCAGGCUGCAACUCGCCUGCAUGAAGCCGGAAUCGCUAGUAAUCGCGGAUCAGCAUGCCGCGGUGAAUACGUUCCCGGGCCUU